Molecule: ribosomal RNA, 435 nt
Filed under: uncultured bacterium
Lineage: Bacteria
Description: bacterial SSU rRNA
Rfam family: Bacterial small subunit ribosomal RNA
Source: RNAcentral
UGAGGAAUAUUGGUCAAUGGGCGGAAGCCUGAACCAGCCAAGUCGCGUGAGGGAAGACGGUCCUAUGGAUUGUAAACCUCUUUUGCCGGGGAGCAAAGCCGGGCUCGUGAGCCCCGGAAGGAGAGUACCCGGAGAAAAAGCAUCGGCUAACUCCGUGCCAGCAGCCGCGGUAAUACGGAGGAUGCGAGCGUUAUCCGGAUUUAUUGGGUUUAAAGGGUGCGUAGGCGGGAUCUUAAGUCAGCGGUAAAAAUGCGGGGCUCAACCCCGUAGUGCCGUUGAAACUGAGGUUCUUGAGUGGGCGAGAAGUAUGCGGAAUGCGUGGUGUAGCGGUGAAAUGCAUAGAUAUCACGCAGAACUCCGAUUGCGAAGGCAGCAUACCGGCGCCCAACUGACGCUGAGGCACGAAAGCGUGGGGAUCGAACAGGAUUAGAUACC